Long non-coding RNA from Tachysurus fulvidraco (yellow catfish), 350 nucleotides. RefSeq lists it as uncharacterized. The transcript has 2 exons. Lineage: Eukaryota; Metazoa; Chordata; Actinopteri; Siluriformes; Bagridae. The record is from RefSeq and is a predicted model, not a curated record.
GCAACGUCAAUAAAAGGGUGUUAUUUUUAAACCAUGUGACUUUAACGUAAAUGUGAAGUAGUGAUUUGGGUUUACUUCUGAACAAUAGGUUUAAUGUCACUGGGUUUUAACACUUAGUUUUACACCUCAGAUGUGUUUAUAGUGAGACCGAGGAGCGACACACUGGGACUAAAACUAACAGGCCGCUCGCGCGCACGCUCUCUCUCUCACCUGCCGCGCGCGCUGCACCGCGUCCGCGAACGCGUCCUUCUUCACCCCGCCGGGUCCCAGUGCUGCUGCUGCUGCUGCUGCUGCUCCGGGAGGCGGCGGCACCGCGCUGUACUCCGACAUCACUGUCCCGUCGUUUCUGU